GGGGUGGGCCCGUGGGUCCCAGUACCUGGUCCAGGAGGCAGCGUCUCCCUCCCGUCCGGGAUAAGACACCCCCUCCGCGGGUCCCCUGUCCACUCUGGAGAGGCAGCCCCCACUUGGAGGGACCAGGACCCGAGCCCUGCCCAUCCCCGAAUCCUGGGAGCCCUGCGUGGGGAGUGUCGAGGGCCUGGGUCGGGGGGCAAACUAGUGUGGAGACAUUAGAACACUAUUUAAAGAGUGUACAUCUCCUAGUGAAGCAAAUGAUAAACUUUCCCACCUACAAAGUGUGAGAUAUUGGCAAUGUAAAGAUGUGAAGAGAGAUACGGUACUAUGGAGGGAGAGAAAGCCCUGUGUAUGAGAUAUUUGCAACAGCAUUGCAGAUAGAUAGAUACAUAGAUAUAAUUUUUUAACAUUUGGAAUCAAA
RNAcentral lists this long non-coding RNA (421 nucleotides) under Pan troglodytes (chimpanzee). RNAcentral describes it as "long non-coding RNA NONPTRT004907". The record is from RNAcentral. Lineage: Eukaryota; Metazoa; Chordata; Mammalia; Primates; Hominidae.